AUUGAACGCUGGCGGCAGGCCUAACACAUGCAAGUCGAACGGUAACAGGAAGCAGCUUGCUGCUUUGCUGACGAGUGGCGGGCGGGUGAGUCAUGUGUGGGAAACUGCCCGAUGGAGGGGGAUAACUACUGGAAACGGUAGCUAAUACCGCAUAACGUCGCAAGCACAGAGUGGGGGAGCUUAUGGCCUCUUGCCCUCGGAUGUGCCCAGGUGGGAUUAUCCAGUGGGUGUGGUAACGGCUCACCUAGGCGACGAGCCCUAGCUGGUCUGAGAGGAUGACCAGCCACACUGGAACUGAGACACGGUCCAGACUCCUACGGGAGGCAGCAGUGGGGAAUAUUGCACAAUGGGCGCAAGCCUGAUGCAGCCAUGCCGCGUGUAUGAAGAAGGCCUUCGGGUUGUAAAGUACUUUCAGCGGGGAGGAAGGGAGUAAAGUUAAUACCUUUGCUCAUUGACGUUACCCGCAGAAGAAGCACCGGCUAACUCCGUG
Molecule: ribosomal RNA, 490 nt
Filed under: uncultured bacterium
Lineage: Bacteria
Description: partial 16S ribosomal RNA
Rfam family: Bacterial small subunit ribosomal RNA
Source: RNAcentral